Molecule: ribosomal RNA, 460 nt
Filed under: uncultured bacterium
Lineage: Bacteria
Description: partial 16S ribosomal RNA
Rfam family: Bacterial small subunit ribosomal RNA
Source: RNAcentral
CCUACGGGGUGCAGCAGUGAGGAAUAUUGGUCAAUGGGCGCGAGCCUGAACCAGCCAAGUAGCGUGAAGGAUGACUGCCCUACGGGUUGUAAACUUCUUUUAUAAAGGAAUAAAGUGAGGCACGUGUGCCUCUUUGUAUGUACUUUAUGAAUAAGGAUCGGCUAACUCCGUGCCAGCAGCCGCGGUAAUACGGAGGGGCCGAGCGUUUUCCGGAUUUAUUUGGUUUAAAGGGGGCGUAAAUGGGUUGUUAAGUCAGUUGGGAAAGUUUGCGGCUCAACCGUAAGAUUGCAAUUGAAACUGGCAGUCUUGAGUACAGUUGAGGUAGGCGGAAUGCGUGGUGUAGCGGUGAAAUGCUUAGAUAUCACGCAGAACUCCGAUUGCGAAGGCAGCUUACUAAACUGCGACUGACAUUGAUGCUCGAAAGUGUGGGUAUCAAACAGGAUUAGAUACCCUUGUAGUC